Molecule: long non-coding RNA, 6215 nt
Filed under: Citrus x clementina
Lineage: Eukaryota; Viridiplantae; Streptophyta; Magnoliopsida; Sapindales; Rutaceae
Description: Citrus clementina (C. clementina) long non-coding RNA (CCLE_LNC004584)
Source: RNAcentral
GGACAUACACGUGAUACUGUCGUCAAAGCAACAGCUCUAGUAAGUUUGACUUAAUAAUUUUCUCUGCUUGUCAGCAACAAUAACUGAAUCCGUAUACAUAUUUGCAGAUUUUAAUCCUUACAGGCUCAGAAAGCACGUAUCUUGGAAUAAUUUGGACAAUGUCCCUGUUGUUGAACCACCCGAAAGAGCUGAAGAAGGCACAGGAAGAGUUGGACGUCCAUGUUGGAAGAGAUAGAUGGGUAAACGAGUCAGAUAUGAAGAAACUAAAAUACCUUCGAGCCAUUGUCAAAGAAACUCUACGGAUUUACCCACCGGGUCCUGUAACAGGAAUUCGGGAAGCCAUGGAAGAUUGUGAAAUUGGUGGUUAUCAUGUCCCGAAAGGCACGCGUUUGAUCGUGAACAUAUGGAAGCUGCACAGAGACCCUCGGAUGUGGGAAAAUCCGUGCGAGUUCAGACCAGAAAGGUUUCUGACAACUCAUGCUGAUGUUGAUGUCAACACUCAACAUUUUGAGUAUGUUCCGUUCAGCUUCGGAAGAAGAUCGUGCCCUGGAAUGACAUCUGGCUUACAAAUUGUUCAAUUAACGCUUGCUCGGAUUCUUCAGGGGUUUGAUUUGGCAACCGUGGGGGGCACACCUGUUGAUAUGCAGAUUGGUUUGGGCCUUGCCUUGCCCAAAUCGAACCCUCUUGAAGUUAUCAUAAAACCUCGCCUCGCUGAGGAUCUUUUUCGAUGCAUUUGAAGAUUUUAUCAUUUUAAACGAUCAUUUACGUGUAUUAUCAGAAAGAACUAAUGUGAAGGCGACUAAUGCGCAAUAACAUUUUUUCUAAGUGAAGGAUCUUUUUCGCUAAGAACUAAAUGAUAAUACACGUAAUUCAACAGACACGUAAUCAAAGGUCAUUUGUAGAAAGCUACAAAAGACCCAUAUCUAUAUUAAUUAUGAUUUAUCCUAAUUUAAAUAGAAAAGUUUAUUUUAAUAAGAUAUAUAUUUAGAUUAGAGGAAUACAACUCAAAUAAGCUAUGCCUAAUUAAUGAAACUCUAAAUAGAAAACCUAAUUAAAGUAGAAUACAAAUUAAUUAAGUCAUUCCUAAAUAUUAUAAAUUUCAAUCUAAUUAGAAUUUCUUCAAUUUGCUCGUCACAUUUGGUCUCUUUUUUUUUUUUUUUUUUCUAUACAUAUGGUGAAAAAUGGUAACUGUCCAUUAAUUAAUAACAUUUUUUUUUUUUUAAUAAAUCUCGUUUGAAGUAGGGGGUGGGCACCACCACCCCAUGAAACCAACGUAACCCAUUAAUUAAUAACAUUUUCUAAUAGAGUUGGACUAUUGACAUCCCUCCAAAAUCCUUUUAAAACCCCUUUCCAUUACAAUUAUAUUUAAGAAUAAAUACUCUAUUUUAUCUCACUUCAAACUUUUGUAUUUUCUCUACUAUCAAACUCGCACAUGUAAUUUUUUUUUCUCAAAUUCUCUAUAAUUUUUUCUUCAAUUACUAAGACAAUCUAUUGGUAAUAAACAAAAUACAUUCUGACAAAAUUAUCUGCCUUUUUUUAAGGCUCAUAAUAAAACUUUUUACAUCAUAAUUUUAUAGAUAUUUUAUUUAAUUAAUUGAUUUUUAUCAAGAAAUUUAUCACCCAUAAACGUUUGUUUGUGAGGAGCGAGAAAAUAAUAGAAAAUUAAAAGAUUCACAAAUUAAAUGUGUUUAUUUAGAAUAAGGGUAUUUUUGGCAUUAAUUUUAGCAUUAUUGAAAAAUGGGUUUCAUAAGAAUUUUGGAGGGGUGCCAAUAGUCCAACUCUUUUUAAUAAAUUCCAUGAUCACAAAUUAAAGACAACCACACACGGCCAAAACUCAUGUCGCUCCACCUAGAGCUGGCAAAAUUUGACACGACCUGAUUAACCAACAUGAGCACGACACGAAUAAACAUGUAUGAGUUGUCAAAUUUAACAGAUUAUUAAAUGGGUUGGAUCUUGGUUGAUACGAUUUUUUUCUGUAUUGGGUUAGGGUUAAAAUUUUUGAUCUAUUUUUUAUUCUUGAUCAAUGACAAUAUUAUAUUUUUUUAUUUAAAAUUAAUUUAUAUGUUUUUAUCAUCAAAACUCAAAUAUUGGAUGUGAUUAUCUAUUUUUUUUAAGGAUGAACAUAUAUACAAUAUUUAAUUUAUAAAAUUUUAUUUAGAUUUAGAACUCUAAUAGUAUAAAUAUGUAAAAUGUUAGUAGACAUGUAUAUUUUAUAAUAUUGAUAUAUCAUAUUAUUUACAUAUAUAUAAUUAAAACUUCAAUAGUAUAAAAUGUGUAAUAUUUUGGUACAUAUGUAUAAUUUAUAAUAUCAAUAAAUUUUUGUGUGCCCAAUAACUCUCUUAAUAUUUAUAUGUUUAAUAUUAAACAUAUAAAUAUUAAGAGAGUUAUUGGGUAACUUAUUUAUUUUCUAUACCGAAUUUGAAUCUUAAUAUUUUGACACGAUUAUUAAAUAAGUCAUAUUUGACAUGAUUAUUAAAUUUAAUACGAUACAAAACUGAUACGACACAAACAUGACUCGAUCAUCCAAUUUAACAGCCGGGGCUUCACCAGCCACUACCAGAAGAUCCAUACUUGAAAUGAUCCUUCAAUUUCAUCAAUUUUCAGUUCGCAGGAUAGAUCCAUGGCCCCACCAAAAUGUCGCCUGCCACAUGUUCACAAUCAUAGCCAUUUCUCACUUUCAUACUCGAUAGUGAUACGGGUUUUAACUUGGUCUGUAUCUAUUUAAUAGUUUUGAGUAAUUACACCGUACGACCUUUGGCUUUAAAGUGUAAACAAAACCAGCAUCAAAAUAUAAUUGCAAAAAAAUCAAUGUUAUUUUUGAAAAUUUUAUAUUAGAAUAAAUCAAUUAAAUCUCUCUCUUUAUUUUCUUUUCUUUUCAAUUUAAGGUCUAUUGAUGAUUGAAUUUGAUCACUAAAAUUGUUUUAAUAUAAAAAUAAGGUUAGUUGAACUCACUUAAAUACUUAAUAUACUCACUUUUUAAUAAAAAAAAAUUAUUACUAAAUUACUUGUUGUGUAAUUUACUCUUAAGUACAACACAGUAAAGUUAAAUAAAAUAUUUUCAUCUUGCAUCCAUUAUAUAGAUAUAAUUAUCAUAAUACAUUUUUUCCAUCCAACAUUAAUUAUCGACACUUUUUUUCCCAUGCGAAUGGACCUUGAUUACGUGUCUUUUUUGCUAAGAACUAAACAAUCAUUAAAUGUUCAUUUACAUAAUUCAAUUUCUCAAAAGGUUAUUGCUAUUCAUGUAAAUGAUCGUUUAAAAUGAUAAUACACGACUAAUGCGACUAAUGUGCACAUUAGUGGGUUAUCACAAACAAACUCAAUUUUUUUUCUAAGUGAAGGCCACUAAUGUGCAAUUAUAACUCUUGAAGUAUUUUUCAAUUUUGAUUUUCCAUGCCAGCUGAGUUUGUCUUAUUUAGCUAUUGUAUUUGAGUUUUUUUUUUUUUCUUUUUUUUGGGUUAUCUUAGUUUGUUUGCCUUAUUUAAUUAAUUUCAAAAUAGCCUACUAUAAAUGGAAUUGAAUUUUCAAACCUUAUAUAAGAUGGUAAUUCAGUUUUUUUUUUUUUUUUUGAAUUUUACUUUUUAAGAGUAGUGCUAUUUUGAACAAAGAGCAUAUUAAGUGAUCACAGUUUAGUUUAUACAGUAGGAAAGAAAUAACCGAAGGAAGAAAAAGCAAGAAAAAUCUUAAAGAGUAUUCCAGUUUAGUAGUCACCCACUCUUUAUUUGUUAACUUUUAUUUUUAAUAGAAAUAAUGUUGAUCUAAUUUCAACAAAUUCAGUAAACUCCUAGAAGUGCAAUAAUUAUGAGAUUUAGCUCGUUAAACAUGUUAAAACAGCAUAACAUCACAUUUUAUUCUAUUUUCUCUACUCUGCCGAACCAUGAGAUAAUCUAUUCAUUGCAAGUAGACCAACAAACCUUCAAGACCACAAAUUCCGAAGCAUAAUAAAAUUAAUUUGGCCACAAAAAAAUAAAAUCCUCUAACCUAAACCAACGAAGUAUGGACAUACAGCAGAUCUUUCAACAGCUGCCUUGGAAGAAAACAAAUCGUUUUUUACCACAGAAAUGAUUUCAUCUGCGCAACAGCCAUAGCCUAAGAUUUUUUUUUGAAAAAUUAUGGACCGGUCACUUAUUUUUUUUAAAUUUUUUUUUACUGGAAUCUAUAUUAAGUUAUAUAUAUUUUUACUUAUCCACUUCUAUUUGGAGAUCGUUUUGAAAACUAACGGAAUAUUGUAUAAAUAAUUUUUUUACUCUUAAAUAUAAAAGAUAAAUUAUCUACCGACCACUUUUUUUUUUCGUAUUUUUUCAAAAAUGCACUAUUCUUAAUUUUUUUUUUUUACUAAACUCCACUUGAAGUUAUAUUGUUUUGCACCUAUCCACUACUGUAUCAUUGUGAAAUGAUAAUUUUACCCUUAUGAUGUCAGUAAAUUUCUAACGGUGUUAUAACGAGAGUGGACCAAUGAAAAAAAUAUUAACUUUAGGUGGAGCACUGUAAAAAAAAAAAUUAUGUAUUUUUAAAAAACGGUAAAAAAAACAAGUGAACAGUGAAUAAUUUCCCUAUUUUUUUUAAGCAAUCACUAUCUUAGAGCUGCUUUAAAAUAUAACACAAAUCACAACCAUACACAUGUAAAGUGAUAAAUAAUAAAAAAUAAAUUAUAAAUUUAAUCACGUGGAUUUUAAUGCGUUUUCUAUCUUAGAGCAGUUUCAACGUAACCAAAUUCUUUUUUUUUAAUAUGCUUCACGAAAUCUCCACCUCACAAAUAAAAUAAGGAAAUAUGUAAAGUAUUAUUUGACUGACGCCUACCUAAUAACUCAAAAUCUAUUAUAAAUAGUAGUGCAAGUCAUAUGUAGCUUCGCCACAACACUCUCCCUAAACCACCAUGGAUUUUAUUUCUUUCAAGCUACCAAUUUUGGAGCUCUUAGCUUUGCUGAUUCUUUAUUUCUUAUGGGGAAUCGUAGCAAAAUCCAAAAACAAAAGCAAGAAAAAUACAGCCCCCGAACCAUUUGGGGCAUGGCCACUCAUCGGCCAUUUGCCUCUUCUGAUUGCCGAAGAACCUGUUUGCAAAAUACUCGGAGCCAUUGCUGACAAAUAUGGCCCCAUCUACUCCCUCAGGCUCGGCAAGCAUCCAACGUUGAUUGUGAGCAGUUGGGAAAUUGUGAAGGAUUGCUUCACUACCAAUGACAGAGUUUUGGCCACAAGGCCAAGUAUAGCAGCAGGCAAGUACUUGGGUUACGACAACGCCGUUUUUGCGCUUGCUCCCUACGGCCGGUACUGGCGUGAUAUUCGCAAAAUAGCCACCACAGAUCUGCUCUCCAGUCACCGGCUUGAAUUGCUAAAGCACGUUCGCUACUCAGAAGUUGACACUUUCAUCAAAGACUUGUACUCACGUUGCUCAGAAAACGCAUUCAAUCCUGCGAAGGUGGUGAUCAGCAAGUUAAUAGAACAACUGACUUUCAAUAUAAGCCUACGACUGAUAGCCGGAAAGAGAUUUUCAGCUAGAGAAUUUGGUGAACAAGGCAGCGAGGGAUGGCGUAUCAAUAGAGCCAUAAAAGAAGCUACGUAUCUGACAGGGGUUUUUGUUUUGGGAGAUGCCAUACCGUGGCUUGAAUGGAUUGAUUUUCAGGGUCACAUAGGCUCUAUGCGGAGGACUGCAAAGAAAAUUGACGACGUGAUCGGCAACUGGCUUGAAGAACAUGCCCAGAGAAAAUUACAGGGUGAAGGUGACUUCAUGGACGUGUUGCUAUCGAAAAUUGAAGACAAUACUGUGAUGAGUGGUCAUACAAGGGAUACUGUCAUCAAGGCAACAGCUCUUGUAAGUUUGAUUGUAUAAUUUUCUGUUUUCUAUAAUGAUAAUUAUUCAAUGGUAAACAAUUGAGACGGAAACUCAUACAACUAAUCAAAAUUAUUCUGUAGAUUCUAAUAUUUACAGGCUCAGAAAGCACAUAUCUCGGAAUAAUUUGGACACUGUCUUUGUUACUCAAUCACCCGAAAGAGCUAAAGAAGGCACAGGAAGAGUUGGACGUCCAUGUUGGAAGAGAUAGAUGGGUAAACGAGUCAGAUAUGAAGAACCUAAAAUACCUUCGAGCCAUUGUCAAAGAAACUCUGCGGAUUUACCCACCGGGUCCUGUAACAGGAAUUCGGGAAGCCAUGGAAGAUUGUGAAAUUGGUGGCUAUCAUGUCCCGAAAGGCACGCGUUUGAUCGUGAACGUAUGGAAGCUGCA